AUUGAACGCUGGCGGCAGGCCUAACACAUGCAAGUCGAGCGGUAGAGAGGUGCUUGCAUCUCUUGAGAGCGGCGGACGGGUGAGUAAUGCCUAGGAAUCUGCCUAGUGGUGGGGGAUAACGUUCGGAAACGGACGCUAAUACCGCAUACGUCCUACGGGAGAAAGCGGGGGAUCUUCGGACCUCGCGCCAUUAGAUGAGCCUAGGUCGGAUUAGCUAGUUGGUGAGGUAAUGGCUCACCAAGGCGACGAUCCGUAACUGGUCUGAGAGGACGACCAGCCACACUGGAACUGAGACACGGUCCAGACUCCUACGGGAGGCAGCAGUGGGGAAUUUUGGACAAUGGACGCAAGUCUGAUCCAGCCAUUCCGCGUGCAGGAUGAAGGCCCUCGGGUUGUAAACUGCUUUGUACGGAACGAAAGGUUUGUCUUAAUACGAUGAGCUCAUGACGGUACCGUAAGAAUAAGACACCGGCUAACUACGUGCCAGCAGCC
Molecule: ribosomal RNA, 492 nt
Filed under: uncultured bacterium
Lineage: Bacteria
Description: bacterial SSU rRNA
Rfam family: Bacterial small subunit ribosomal RNA
Source: RNAcentral